This 499-nucleotide ribosomal RNA is filed under the name uncultured bacterium. RNAcentral's name for it is "bacterial SSU rRNA". It matches the Rfam family "Bacterial small subunit ribosomal RNA", at positions 24 to 518 of the family's 1533-position model. The record is from RNAcentral.
UCAGGAUGAACGCUGGCGGCGUGCCUAAUACAUGCAAGUCGAACGAAGUUACUUCGGUAACUUAGUGGCGAACGGGUGAGUAACACAUGAACAACCUACCCUGACGACAGGGAUAACAGUUGAAAAGACUGCUAAUACCUGAUAGGUGAUGAGGGGGCAUCUCCACAUCAUUAAAGUUGGGCCACAACACGACAGGAUGGGUUCAUGUCGCAUUAGCUAGUUGGCGGGGUAACGGCCCACCAAGGCGAUGAUGCGUAGCCGAUCUGAGAGGAUGAACGGCCACAUUGGGACUGAGACACGGCCCAGACUCCUACGGGAGGCAGCAGUAGGGAAUUUUCGGCAAUGGGCGGAAGUCUGACCGAGCAACGCCGCGUGAAACCGAAGACGGUCUUUGGAUUGUAAAGUUCUGUUACGAGGGAAGAACAGCUAUUAUAGGGAAUGAUAAUAGAUUGACGGUACCUCGCCAGAAAGCCACGGCUAACUACGUGCCAGCCGCUGC